GACGAACGCUGGCGGCGUGCUUAACACAUGCAAGUCGAACGGAAAGGCCCUGCUUUUGUGGGGUGCUCGAGUGGCGAACGGGUGAGUAACACGUGAGUAACCUGCCCUUGACUUUGGGAUAACUUCAGGAAACUGGGGCUAAUACCGGAUAGGAGCUCCUGCUGCAUGGUGGGGGUUGGAAAGUUUCGGCGGUUGGGGAUGGACUCGCGGCUUAUCAGCUUGUUGGUGGGGUAGUGGCUUACCAAGGCUUUGACGGGUAGCCGGCCUGAGAGGGUGACCGGCCACAUUUGGACUGAGGUACGGCCCAGACUCCUACGGGAGGCAGCAGUGGGGAAUAUUGCACAAUGGGCGGAAGCCUGAUGCAGCAACGCCGCGUGCGGGAUGACGGCCUUCGGGUUGUAAACCGCUUUCGCCUGUGACGAAGCGUGAGUGACGGUAAUGGGUAAAGAAGCACCGGCUAACUACGUG
RNAcentral lists this ribosomal RNA (468 nucleotides) under uncultured bacterium. RNAcentral's name for it is "partial 16S ribosomal RNA". It matches the Rfam family "Bacterial small subunit ribosomal RNA", at positions 28 to 507 of the family's 1533-position model. The record is from RNAcentral.